UUUUAGUAGAGACGGGGUUUCACUAUGUUGGCCAGGCUGGUCUUCAACUCCUGAUUCAGCUGAUCCACCCGCCUUGGCCUCCCAAUAUGUUGGGAUUACAGGCGUGAGCCACUGUGCCUGGCCUUAUAUAUCUAUUAAAUAAUGUAUGAAGUAAUCUUUUGUGUAGUUUCCUAAAAUAACCUAUACUAUAGUUUUGCAUGUUAUAAAAUUUUUAAUAAAUGCUAUUAUACUAUAUGUAUCCUGCAAUUAUUUUAUCAUUAUGUUUUUGAGACUUAAUGUAUAUUAGUACAUGAAGUUUUAGCUCACUUAUUUUUACUGCUAAUACAGUAGUUAAUAUUUAAUUAUAUAAAUGUACCAUAAGAAUUUUUUUUCAUUUUCCUACUUGAGAACAUUUAGUAAUUUGCAAAUGUUAGCUCUUACAACAAUGUUGCCACAGACAUUACUGGAAAUGUCUUCUUGCACGCAUAUGCUAGGGUAUACAGUGAAGGGUAGAGUUGCUGACUCAUGAUGUUUCAGAAUUGCUGAGUCAUUACAUUUUAGCUUUGGUGAAAAGUGAUUUCAUAAAUUAGUUUGGGAAUCACUUCAGUGUGCCUAGAGAUUAAUCUGAAACAUUUAGGCGCUAUCCUAAUUAACUUACACAUAUAUGCCCAAGUCAUCAUCAGUACCCACAUGGGAAAUUGGUACUGUGGUGACUAUCCACAGUUUUAAGGAAGGAAACAGAGACUGAAGAAGGUGCUUACAAACAUAGAACUGCUAGAGGUGGAGCCCAGAAUGUCAGUUUGAGAGAAAAUAGUAAUUCCUCGAAAGAAUGUAUGAUAUAGAUGGAGUUUAGAGUUCGCUUUUGAAUUUAGCAGGGUGCUAAGUCGACAGUAGGGCACAGAGGGAAAGAACAUUUCUGAUUUGCUUUCUUUUUUCCUUUACUGGUUUUCACACAUGAAGAACAAGUUGGAUGAACUCAACAAACGGCUUCAUACAAAAGGGUCUACAGAAGCUGAAACCAGGAAAUUCAGAGGCAGCAGAAAUGAAAACAAGGAAAACAUUAAUGGAAAUUUUGAACCUAGGAAAGGUUUGGUUUGAGUUUUGAAGGAAAGUCUGGGUUGUUUUACUGCCCCUAAGUACUACUGUUACGAUUUGCUGGCGUUUUAUUUGUUUAUUAUAUUUCAUUUAUUUAAUAUUGUCAGAUUAUGUUCUAAUCCUUAGGGGUGGGUCCCCAAAUUUGGCAGCUUAACUAAGGCUUCUACAUUUACUGCAAUGCUGGAGCAGCCGAACUACCCAGAACAGGCUUGUGUUGUAAUAGUGUGGGCCGCUUUGUCUCAAAUCCGCAGUUCUAUCUGGGAGGGUCUUGCAAAGUAUUCUACAAAGACUUUUCUCCAUUACUUGCAUAGAAUGGUAAGACUUUAAUUAAAGCAACAUGUAUACAUUAUUUAAUAAGUGUUUUUCAGAACUGAUUUUCUCUAGUAGAAAAAAUAGUACAAGAAUUUAUUAUUUUUUUAAAUUUAUCACUUAAGGAAUUGUGAAUUGCCUAAGCCUCAGUCUCUAAAUAUUUUGGUCAGUAGGGCCCCACAUUUCCAAGAAUCUAUGGAAGUUUUGACUUUAGCCUAUCCAAAGUGGGCAGAUCAAGCUCCAGGUAUUUAUUGCAGAGUGUGGAAUGAAGAUUUUCAUACUGAACUCCCAUCUCUUCUUCCACAAAGAGUAAAGCUUCAGACCUUUUUUUCCUAAGAAGGGAGCUUUCCUUUGGAUGUCUGAAUCUGCACUGGGGGUCUUCAUUGAGUUCUUUGGUAACUGAUGAGCUUCCCUCUUCUGUACUUAGAAGACCCUCUUGAAUGCCCACUUAUUUUAUCUAUACAUGUUCCUUUAAGUUCUUACCUAAAGACUUCUCCUCUGUAUGACAAAGCUGCUUACUUUAAAUGCUCAUCACUACUCACUUUUUAUGCUGAAGGAAUGCAUAUUUGAGUUGCUGUAUGCAUACAAUGAUCAACAUGUGCCUUCUUCUUAAUUAAAUCAUUGGUGUACCUGAUAAGCCUCUUCAGGGGUCAAAAUAAUUAAUUCUACAGAAAUCCAAUCCUAUUGGCUUUCCAUUCAGCUGAAUCAUUUCAAAAUUUAUUACAUAAUGUUUCCUUUAUAUACAAAUCGUAAAUUCUUUACAACUAAAAAAAGCAUUCUGUAAAUACAGCAUUUACAUUAUGGGUUUGAUAACUGUAAGGCUUGACCCAUGGUUAGGUGAUCAGAUCAACCACAAACGUGUUAGGAAAACUAGCUUGAUUAAAUUAAGGAGAGGGUGCUAUAUUAAUAAUGAGUAAGCUAGCCAUUUUAGGUAACUUGACUCUUCCAAUAUUUCUUUAACAUUUGAUGUAAAAUUUAAUAUGCAUCUAACAGUUUAUUUUUUUUCUUUUUUAGAGAGACACCUCCUCUAUGGGCGACCUGCAGUGCUUUAUCGGACUAGAUAUGAUAUCUUAUAUCACACUGACUUUGAAAGUGGUUAUAGUCAAAUAUUCCUAAUGCCACUCUGGACAUCAUAUACUGUUUCCAAACAGGCUGAGGUUUCCAGCAUUCCUGACCAUCUGACCAGUUGCGUCCGGCCUGAUGUCCGUGUUUCUCCGAGUUUCAGUCAGAACUGUUUGGCCUACAAAAAUGAUAAGCAGAUGUCCUACGGAUUCCUCUUUCCUCCUUAUCUGAGCUCUUCACCAGAGGCUAAAUAUGAUGCAUUCCUUGUAACCAAUAUGGUUCCAAUGUAUCCUGCCUUCAAACGGGUCUGGAAUUAUUUCCAAAGGGUAUUGGUGAAGAAAUAUGCUUCGGAAAGAAAUGGAGUUAACGUGAUAAGUGGACCAAUCUUCGACUAUGACUAUGAUGGCUUACAUGACACAGAGGACAAAAUAAAACAGUACGUGGAAGGCAGUUCCAUUCCUGUUCCAACUCACUACUACAGCAUCAUCACCAGCUGUCUGGAUUUCACUCAGCCUGCCGACAAGUGUGACGGCCCUCUCUCUGUGUCCUCCUUCAUCCUGCCUCACCGGCCUGACAACGAGGAGAGCUGCAAUAGCUCAGAGGACGAAUCAAAAUGGGUAGAAGAACUCAUGAAGAUGCACACAGCUCGGGUGCGUGACAUUGAACAUCUCACCAGCCUGGACUUCUUCCGAAAGACCAGCCGCAGCUACCCAGAAAUCCUGACACUCAAGACAUACCUGCAUACAUAUGAGAGCGAGAUUUAACUUUCUGAGCAUCUGCAGUACAGUCUUAUCAACUGGUUGUAUAUUUUUAUAUUGUUUUUGUAUUUAUUAAUUUGAAACCAGGACAUUAAAAAUGUUAGUAUUUUAAUCCUGUACCAAAUCGGACAUAUUAUGCCUGAAUGACUCCACUGUUUUUCUCUAAUGCUUGAUUUAGGUAGCCUUGUGUUCUGAGUAGAGCUUGUAAUAAAUACUGCAGCUUGAGUUUUUAGUGGAAGCUUCUAAAUGGUGCUGCAGAUUUGAUAUUUGCAUUGAGGAAAUAUUAAUUUUCCAAUGCACAGUUGCCACAUUUAGUUCUGUACUGUAUGGAAACACUGAUUUUGUAAAGUUGCCUUUAUUUGCUGUUAACUGUUAACUAUGACAGAUAUAUUUAAGCCUUAUAAACCAAUCUUAAACAUAAUAAAUCACACAUUCAGUUU
Molecule: small RNA, 3643 nt
Filed under: Pan troglodytes (chimpanzee)
Lineage: Eukaryota; Metazoa; Chordata; Mammalia; Primates; Hominidae
Description: retained intron
Source: RNAcentral